ACAUAUUUAUCCUUUCUCCAAGAUGCUAGUGUCUUUUCCUCUCUAGGAUUUUAGGCUUCACGGUGUAUAUUUUGUGUUGAGCUUCAAUCAAUCUGAAAACUGAUUUGGAGGCGUGGUGUGACGCAGCUGCUUUAUUUCCCGUUACCGCAUGGCCUGUCGUCAUCUCGCCUGGCCACCAGCACGAAAGUCAAAGGGCGUUCACGUAUUUCCUUUUCUUGGAGGCCACUUCUCUAUCUUCAUCGGCUACCUGGAAAACUAGGUGAUGGGCUAAAAGCAGGAGAGGUCGUGACCUCCUUCCCAGGCUCCCUGUUGCAAGUCCGUUGCUGCAUGAGACAGAAGCCGGCCGUGCCCUUGGCCUGGCGGUCAGGGAGGGGUCAUGCUCCAUCUUCCAUGGGGCGCUCGUAAGCGCGUUCAGACUGAGGCCAUCCUGGUCCCAGGGAUCGGGAAACGCCUAGCUGACCUCACUGACCGAUAGGGUCAACCCCAGACGGAAAGGGCUUCACUGCCUCUCGGCCUUGGGCUUGGCUGUGGGUCCACCGUCAGGGGACUUGGGAGGCGCACAGGGGUCAUAGGACUCUUGGAGCCUCAUUGCCCCACGGGUCAACUGGGGCCAAAACUAGUAACAGCAGUGACAGCUCUGGGCGUUGUGUUCCGUGCUCGGGCGAGCGGGACACGUUAGCCCGGACCUGGGGUGUGCGUUGCCCGCCUUCCUUGCUUUGUGCUUUCCAUUUUCCUCACUUUUUCUUUGAUUAGAAAUUAACCAGCCGCUUGGUUUAUUCAUCAGUUCAGCUGUUCUCCUGUCUCAGAGCAUUUUCUCUGUUGUCGUUACGGAGUCUUUGCUCCCCUCUGUGUGACGGUUCACAGCACGCUUUCCCCAACUUUCUGAACAAGAUGGUGAACUCAUUUCCUGUCUUUCUUUUUUACUGACACAAACAGUCCCGUCUGUGAGUGUGCUUUGUUCGGAUCGCACAGACGCUGCCUAGUAUCUCAGGGACGAUGAUUUCCCCGAAAUUCUGUAAUUUUGCUUUAAGUGUCCCUCUGACUCAAGAAUUGAUCAGUAGGGAAUUGUAAGAUUUCUCGGGCUGUGUUUGGUUUUGUGAUUGUGGCACCCUCUAGUUUUGCUACACUAGGGUCAGAAAAUGUUUUCUAUGUUAUUUCUCCUUUUUGAAACGAACGUGGGUGUUUCCUGAUUUAUAACUUGGCCGGUUCCCGCGAAUGGGUUAGAGCAACGGAAACAGGAGGUACUCGGGUAAAGGUGAUGUGCUCCUUUGCGCCUCUGCACUUCUGGGAAAUGCAUGUGACUGUCGAGAGCAAAUGUUCUAGCAUUUUCUGGGUGUAGUGUUUAUGUGGACUUAGUCAACGUGACCACGAUGACAUGAGCAGUGCGGGGUAUGGGACAGUGUGACAGGAAGGCUUCUCCAGUGCUCUUGAAAGAGCCAAGGGUCCCCUCUAAAUGGACUGCAAGGUGUUAGGUAGCCGCAGAACUGGAGUAGCAGCCAGGCUCCAAGAGGGCAUCCAGAGAUUCUCAUCUCUUGGUCUUCUGCCCCUCGGGUGGGCUCCCGGCUCAUUAACCGGAGCUGGUCUGCGUGACCAACAGAGGACGGCGGGGGAUGGUGGUGUGUGACUCCCAACUCUAGGCUAUAAAAGCUCCUGCUGUGGGCUCGGCGUUGCUCGUUCUGAAAAGUGAGAUGCCCUGUCGGCGAGGAGACUCGAGUCGAGCUGUGGAUAGGCUCACGCGGAAAGAGCCCAUCUGGCCAGCCAUGAAAGGAGUCGUCUUGGUCGUGGAGUCUCCCGGCCCAGCUGAACCUUCCGAUGAGCCCACGCCCCCAGCCGGCACCCUGAGCAGACCGGCAUCCACCAGUACCACCCCCCCAACACCUGAGCCACCAGAACCGUGAGACACAAUACGUAGUGACUGUUGUUUUCAGCCGCUAAAUUUGGGGGUGACUGGUUACACAGCAGUGGAUGUUUAAUGCAAUAAUCCAAUUUGAGAACCUUGUUUAUUUUAUUUUAGUAGUUAAUUUCUUUUACAUUCACUGUAUGAUGAAUGUGUUUAUGCUAAUUACUUUGUGCUGUGACAUCUGGACGUAUCUGUCCAUGCAUGUAGAUACAGAGUAGGUGACUAUGUCUGUGUCUUCCUCUCUCUCUCUCUCGAUUGCUGAUACAUGUAUGUGUAUAUUAUGCGUGUGCGCGUUUGUGUGGAUGGAUAUGGAGCAGUUUUCUCAGGCACACAUGUGUUCAAACAGUCCUCUUCUGUGGGGUCUGUUCCUACACACGUCUUGAAUGUUAACUAUUUUGAGAUUUAAGGUUGUGCUUGUGCUCCAGUCGUGUCCUUUAUAAGCGAGCCUCCUUACAGGGCUGGGCGUCCCUCUGUCCUCACACAGGGUCCUUGGGUUCCCUCGUGAGAGUGACGACGAUGCGGCUUCCCUCCCCUCCCCCUCCCGCUGCUCUUUCUUUCCUUCCGGCUCCUCCGGCUUUAAUCAAAAGCUACUCUUCUCAGUACCGACUACUUCUGAGUUGUUACGGCUGCUUCUGUGCCCAAAUGUCAUCGCUCGUCGCCUAGCGGUUCUGAUGAAAAAUCAGAGUCAUUUUAGUCAUAUUAGUGGACGUGCCUCCUCUUGACAGCGGCUCCUCGGGCGCCUCAUUGUUGAGGCAGAAGACUUUCGCGUCCGGUCCUCUUGCUCACAGCCCCUCCAGCUCCCAGCUCGUUCGCUCCAACACGCUUGUUGCUGACCCUUUGUCCCGGAUUUCCUAGUUAUCUCACGUUGAUCACAGCUCAUCCCCUAGCGCAUUCCCUAAGAAAGAGUCACGUGGAAGAUGCUCCCUGCAGCCCCUCACUUUCAAGGGAUCCGUUUCCUUUAUCCAUGAACGGGGCGCUCUGGGUGGAGAACCCUCUGUCCCGCGACUCUGCUGGUGAAGCGAUGAGGUCUGGUUCCUUCCUCUGUCUGGUCCGGAUGCCUAAGGGCUCCUCCCCCACAUCUGACCUCCGCGGGGCUCGCAGUCCUGGGGGCACUCCCUCAGCUGUCCCGCAGGGGUCCCCUGGGGCCGGGCAUUUCGAGAAGAAUGUGGGAUUUGGAAUAAACCACCCGGUUUCCAAACCCAGCUCUUUGAAACCCUGAAAGUCAUGUGGCCUCUCUGAGCCCCAUCGAUGACGUGGGUCCAGUGACAUCCCUGCCCCCCACCCCCCGCCCCGCACAGAUUAGAGGCUCGGUCGGAGGAGGUACCACGAGCGAAAACGAGCUGCAAAGGGCCGGGCCGGAGCCAGAAGGUUCUGCUGCGUGGGCUCGGCCCCGGCCGUGACUCUCCACCACCUGGAGUUUCCCAAGCGAGGAGGAGGCAGGAGUCUGCCCUGCGAGCCUCGUCCAGGCAGGCCGGCUGCUCUGCCCCAAACACGCCACGUCCCGGUCGUCCCUCUCAGGGGCCACCUUGCUGGCCUUCGCCGGAUUUUAGGGUCUUUCCAGGAUUUGUUCAGCUUGAGGAUGUCGCCAGCUUUGCUCCCCCUCUGCGUCCAGGUCAUCGACGCGACUCCGGCCGCUCCCAGGCCCGGCAGCUCCGGCCGCAGAAGCUUCCUCCCGGCGGACGGCUGUCCCCGACCUCCGCUCCCGGCUCCCACUCGGGUCGCGAUGAGCCCGCCCUGCCCGGUCACUCCCAUCACUGAGUCGCAGGAAGUGUGUGGCCCGGGGUGACCGUGUCAGUGAGCAGGACGACAGGGUCUGCUCCCGCGGGGCGUGUGGAGAAGCGCGUCCGGAACGGGUGAGGCGCCGCCGCCCGCUUCCUCAGCCUCGACCCCAUAGACACUUGGGGCCACACGUGCACUCGCACAUUCCCUGGCUCCCGGGUGCCACCCUCCGCCGUGACAGCCCCACCUGUGUCCUGAUGGGGCCACACAUCCCACAGGGACACGGUCACCCUGGUUUGGCCCCGAACGACGCCGGCUCCGAGCACCGGGCUCUGCUGUGGAGCAGCCGUGGGGGGGCACGGGUGCCGUCCCGUGCCACACCUCUGGGGAUCCUGAACGUUACUACGACGCCCCGCAUGUCCACACUUCCCACCAGGCUUUGAGGACGUGUCAAACAUCUUGCGAAGUUCAAGUCGCCGCCUCUGCAGCCCGGCCUGGCCUCGCCGGCGCGGACCCGUCGCAGAAGUGAGGGCCGCGGGCUGAGGGGAGACGCUGGCUGUGAACUCGGCCCCACAUGCCAGGGCUGUCCUCGGCCCGGAAUGGGGCUGAAUGGACUCGGAAGCCAAGUUUUCCCCAGAAAACAUGGAGAUGGCCCUGCCGAGCAUCUGGGGGUGCGCGGCUGCGGUCCAGCCUCCUUCCAGGCCCGCGGCAGCCCGCUGGACUUGCAGCACGCGCUCUGGGGGCAGGCGGACGCUCAGCUCGGUGGCCUAGGGUGAGCCCCCCAAGUGCAGUCCAACCCCAGAGAGCAUGGUCAUAGGGGGAUCUUGGUCUGACCCCAGAGAGCGUGGCCGCGGGGACACCUUCCUCCUUAGACGAGUGAGUCAGAGGAGGCGCAUGAAAAAGAUGUCCUGUGGCUGUCAGGUCCCACCUCACGACGUGUGGCACACCCAAACUGGUUUUCCCAUGACCGGAUUCUUUACGAGCCAAGGAUGGCGCGGAUGGCGCAGAUGGCGUGGUUGACAUGGUCGACAUGGGGUCACGGGGAGCUCUGCGUUCUGCAGCGGAGCAGCCAAGCCCCCUGGGCCACGCGGGAGGCAGGGGCCCGGGGAGUGAGCAGGGGUGAGGCGAUGCGCUCCCGCUGCUCUGGCUCCCCAUGGGCCGCUGGGGCUCCAGACAUCAUCCUUACGAGUCUGUUCUUGUUCAGCUGGAGGCUCUCCUGUGGGCUCGGCUCAGCACAGCCUCUUCUUCCGUGCCCUUCUCCAGAAAUUAAUAAAAUUUAUAUAUUAAAAGGAAAGAUUCCCCCCAAGCAUGUGAUCGUAAGUGCUUGUUACUCUGUCCUCUGGGCUUACAGCUUGUUCCUUGCACCGUGUGUUUGAGGGUCCUGGACACUUAGAACAGUGCCCACGGUCGGGGGUUGAGAACGGGGUCUGUUUCCCCGUAGGGCAGUGAUCCCUUGCCAGUUCCUCAGAAGACACUCGAACGUGCCUUCCUGGCCUCACGACGGAGCACUCUGCCCUCCGCUGCUCCUGGAACCAGCUUUGCCCUCUUCCUGGGUCACAGGCUAAUCCAUUCAACAAACGAGUGAUGUGUUCACUCCGGAUCCGCCGGAGUCUUCCUCUUGACUUGCGAGGUCUGUAGACGCCGAUAGGUGGCCUCGGGCGUUCGGUGAAUCCACAGAGAAAGCUGAUCCCUGAGAUGGGCUCAAAGUUCUCCUCUGGGAAAUUCGGACUCGGUGUCCCCGGGGAAGGGUUACCUGCUGGACAGGAACGUGCUGAGGAGGAAGGAGGAAAACCGGGUCAUUUUCAUCCAGAGAGAUGACGCCCAUGAGGAGAGGCGGGUCACCUCCCCAGGACCACACAGCGCGUCAGAGAGAGGACCCGACACGUGUCCUCAAAUUCAAGAGGAAUAAACCGCUGGUGGGCGAGAAGAGUCUGCUGGAGACAGGAGAAGAGGGAAGUGGUUCUUCCAACAGCGUCGGGAGUCAGGAACACGGGCAGGAUCCCGCCGAGGAACACCGCAUGCUGUGGGCUCAGCAGUCUCGCCAUAGACGCGUGCACACACGAGCCACACGUGUCUGUGUGCAACACAUGUGCGUGUGUGUCUGUAUCUGUCAGAUACAUGCGAGUGCAUAUGUGUGUAUGUGUACACGUGCAUUCAUAUAAACGUAUGCAUCUGUGUCUGCUGGGUACAUGCAUGUGCAUAUGCACACACACAUAUCAGGCACAUGUACUGCACACACGUAUAUGUUCGCACACGUGUGUUGGGUACAUGUAUUUGUGCACACAUGCGUGUGUAUAUAUUUGUGUACAUGUGUGUUGGAUACAUGCAUGUGUGUAAAUGUGUGUGCACGUGUGUGUGUGUGUGUGUGUGUGUGUGCCUAUACACACAGCCCACACAAGGCUCCCUCCUGUAGCCAUAGGACCAGAUGGCUUCUGACGCCACGGACCUGCAUCCAGGUUCGCCUGUCACCCCAAAUUUCAAAUCCCUGCUGGGGAUCAGGCCUCUGGUGCUGUCUGCAGCCCACCCCUCAGCUCCGGAAACCCAGAGGGCCUUUCGCGCCUGGCACUGACUCCCACACGGGCCCAACGCGUUGCUGCUCAGUAAAUGCCGCUUGAACGGACGAAGGACCCAACCUGUAGCAAGACGCCCCAGGAGCAGCUUUGCUGCAUUGAUCCGAAUGAAGGACAGGACCAGCCUUGCUGGCCAGGGUCCCCACCUGGACCUGCAAACCCGGAGCCUGAACCGCUUGUGGGCUGCCACCCGGUGGCCACGCCUGGCAGUGCAGGGACCUGCUGGGAUCUGGGGCCUUGCAGAAGCCGGGGUCUGAUGCUGUCCUGACAUUCCAGGAACAUUCCUGGGGGACGGAGGAGGGAUGCAUAGAGUGGGAAGGUGGGGUGUCGCGUGUGUUCCCCCCAGCUCCGGAUCUCGGGAUCACGGCUCUGAAUCUCGGGAUCACGGUGGGGCUCAUGGUCUAGCCAGGUUGUCCCGUAUCCUCAGGCACCUGCUUGUAGAAAUCGGCCUGCGAGGCCCCAAGAAGAGCUGGUGGCCAUCUCAGCCUGCAUCCGGGGCUUCCCCCACAGGAGUGCCCUUCUCAUGCCAGAUCAGGGUGCCAUCAGGGCUGGUCCCUGUGGGGCCUCUCUUCCUGGCCGGCGGGUGACCCAUCCGGCCAUGUGCUCACGGGUGUUCAGAAAGCCAGCCCUGGUGUUUCUCCUGCUUCCUAUAAGGACACCGGUUUAUGGGAUUAGGUGCCCUCCCCCCAUCAGGCCCUCAUUUAACCUUGACCACCUCCUUAAAGGCCCCAAAUGCAGCUGCACUGGGGGAUUAGGGCUUAAAUGAGGUUUUAUUUUUUAUUUUUAUU
This is a long non-coding RNA of Mustela erminea (ermine), 6977 nucleotides long. RefSeq lists it as uncharacterized. Lineage: Eukaryota; Metazoa; Chordata; Mammalia; Carnivora; Mustelidae. The transcript has 3 exons. The record is from RefSeq and is a predicted model, not a curated record.